Molecule: long non-coding RNA, 645 nt
Organism: Apis cerana (Asiatic honeybee)
Lineage: Eukaryota; Metazoa; Arthropoda; Insecta; Hymenoptera; Apidae
Source: RefSeq, a predicted model, not a curated record
UAUAAAUAAAGAUCGAUGCGAAUCGCUCGGAUGAAAGCAUCGUGUACAACGCGUAUGUGAAAAGCGUUUGAAAAGAGUUUGAAAAGUAUUGAAGGAAAAAAGUGACAAAAGAAAGUAGACAAAGAAGAGAAAACGAGAGUUCGAGAUCGGAAGAAAAAAGUAGAAAAGUGCGAAGUGAACAAAAAGUGAGGUUAGAAAGAGUGCAAGCAGACAAGGAAAAAAAAAGGAAGCAGGGAAAACAUAUUUCAUCGUCAAAAUGAUGUCGAGAACCACGCCAUUUCCACGUGGAGAAAGCUGAUGCCUUCGCUUACGGAGAGACAGCAAGGGAGAAGAGAUGAUCCUAAUUCUCAACGACGGCGUUUCAUUUACGAGAGAGAGCGCUAAUUGCCCUUUCGAUCAAAUUAAUUGCAAGAGAAAUAGAAUUUAAUUUUUCUAGUAGCAUCCCAAAUUCGAUAUUCAUUCGCGGAAUAUCGGAGAGGCGAAGGAAAACGUAUUUAAUUACUUCGAGUUGAAAAUGAAAUAUUAAUCUUCGAAUUAACGGGGGAAGGGGAUUAAUCGCGUGCGAAAAAUGACUGACAACCACGAUUUAAACGAUACGAAAAAUAUAAACGAGGAGCAAGUCACGGAGACGAACGAUACGAAAAA